UAUGAAGGGGGCUAGCGUUGUUCGGAAUUACUGGGCGUAAAGCGCACGUAGGCGGCUCUGUCAGUUGGGGGUGAAAUCACGAGGCUCAACCUCGGAAUUGCCUUCAAGACUGCAGGGCUUGAGUUCGGGAGAGGUGAGUGGAAUUCCCAGUGUAGAGGUGAAAUUCGUAGAGAUUGGGAAGAACACCAGUGGCGAAGGCGGCUCACUGGCCCGUAACUGACGCUGAGGUGCGAAAGCGUGGGGAGCAAACAGG
RNAcentral lists this ribosomal RNA (253 nucleotides) under uncultured bacterium. RNAcentral describes it as "partial 16S ribosomal RNA". It matches the Rfam family "Bacterial small subunit ribosomal RNA", at positions 524 to 776 of the family's 1533-position model. The record is from RNAcentral.